Molecule: ribosomal RNA, 410 nt
Filed under: Aeromonas sp. OrAs7
Lineage: Bacteria; Pseudomonadati; Pseudomonadota; Gammaproteobacteria; Aeromonadales; Aeromonadaceae
Description: bacterial SSU rRNA
Rfam family: Bacterial small subunit ribosomal RNA
Source: RNAcentral
AAAGUAGCUUGCUACUUUUGCCGGCGAGCGGCGGACGGGUGAGUAAUGCCUGGGGAUCUGCCCAGUCGAGGGGGAUAACAGUUGGAAACGACUGCUAAUACCGCAUACGCCCUACGGGGGAAAGGAGGGGACCUUCGGGCCUUUCGCGAUUGGAUGAACCCAGGUGGGAUUAGCUAGUUGGUGGGGUAAUGGCUCACCAAGGCGACGAUCCCUAGCUGGUYWGAGAGGAUGAUCAGCCACACUGGAACUGAGACACGGUCCAGACUCCUACGGGAGGCAGCAGUGGGGAAUAUUGCACAAUGGGGGAAACCCUGAUGCAGCCAUGCCGCGUGUGUGAAGAAGGCCUUCGGGUUGUAAAGCACUUUCAGCGAGGAGGAAAGGUUGGCGCCUAAUACGUGUCAACUGUGACG